GGGGUGCGUGCGUGCGUGUGUGUAAAUGUGAUACAUGUAUUUUAACAAAUAUUAGUCAUUUUCAUCAUAACUUCGCAAGUUACGACUCAAAGUAAAGGAAUUUAUUCCAAUAUCACUGUAGUUCCGUUUGUUUACACUAGCCUGUUCCUGUGUGCACCGGAUUUUCAAACCGUAAUGUGGAUGACGAAAAGCUAAACAAAUACAACAAGAAAGGGGGCACACAUGUACAACAUGUAACAAGUAAACAUACACAUGUAGGUCAAGGGAGGAAAAUAACUGUUAUAAUACAGAUUGACUUCUCAAAAGUAAAUAUAAAAACGCCUGUAGCAACUGUCAUAUAAUGUUUAGGCAAAGCUAAACACUCGAAAUAUCAACCAAAGGCAAAUGAACUGAUGAAAUCUAUCGAAGAUGCUGCUGCCAUGUCAGAAAAAGACAGUGAGCUAAGUAAUGCCAUGUGUAAAGGGUUGAUGUGUGAUAUGAACGCACCUAUGAAAAUAUUAUAUUGUACUGUUCAUCAUUCCACAUAGGAACAUGGUUUAUUGAUUAAAGAACGACUCAUAUAAAUGUCAGUAAUGCUAAACUGCAGCUGUUAUCUAUCUUGGUUAACGGAACAUUAAAAACGUUGGCCUAUAUUUAAAAAUAACACGCCAGUCUAUUAUUGGAAACCGGUGCUUUUCCUUUAGAUUUCAGAGUCGGCCGUUUCGUCAGCAAGAGCGCUAUACCUCUUUAGGCCUAUCAUCGGCGCUUUCAGCCGUUGAGCAGGGAGGGAUCUUCAUCGUGCCACACCUGCUGUGACACGGGACCUCGGUUUUGCAGUCUCAUCCAAAGGACCGCCCAUUCAGUCGCCUCUUACGACAGACAAGGGGUACUAAGGACCUAUUCUAACCCGGAACCCCAUGGAUUUUUUUUUUUUUUUUUUUUUUUUACAAAUUGAUGAAUAAUUCUGUCUUUGAAAAAACAAACCACGGAAAGUGAAUGGGGAUCGAAUUGGUACACACUAAACGGAGAUUACGUAAUUAGGCAAAGUUCAUAGGGAAAUUCAAACAGUCGAUUAUUUUAAGACAUCUUAUUUUGAAGAAGAACACGAAUGGUAAAAUUCUUAGCAAAGAUAAAUGCGGGUCGAGAGAACACCGACCGAAGAAUUGUAUGGCGUGCGGUUUUGGAGGAAAAGAAAAGAAAACCGCAAAAGUGGUUAGAAAGCAAUAGUUGACAUAUAUUUGAAAACAAACUCUUUGAUAAUAGCUCCACGAGACAUUCUAUGAAUAUGAUCAGGAGCUUCAAUCACCCAGCUGUUUUCUGUUUCAUUACGUAAAGCUUCUUAGAUAAUAGACGUCGAGUAAUUGACGGAGACAUAUAUACGUUGACCAAUCGGCAAGAUCAAAUCCGAAUGCAAACAUUUGAUACCUUUUUUUUUUCAUUUUUAAUUGUAAAUAAUGCUUUGCGUUUACACAAGAACAUUUUUUACUUUAUUAUGCCAAGGAACUGUGUAUUUUGUUAUCAUAUUUAUGUACAUAGAUUUUUGAAAUUAUAUAAAAUGUUGACUUAUGUCCAUAAUGAAAAAAAAAAUGAAAUAUAAUGUACAGUGGUCAAUCUCAUAACCUAUAGAAUACAAAAUUAAGAGUCGGGCAAACAUGACCCCUGGAUAUACCUGGUCGGGAUAUUAUAUAUGUUUGAAUUUCCAUGGACACAAAUGUUGCUCAAUUAUUAGCUGACCUGGAUUUUUGUAUUCUUUUAAAGCAGAAUUUAUCUUCUACAUAUGAGAAAAAAAAUAUCUUGAUGUUGCCUUCAAGUCGAGUUUUAUCAACAACACUCAUUUUCACUUGCAUGUCGAUUCGGUAUGUCCCAGUAAACUCGAAUAAAAGACACCACGGAAUUUUCCAUAUCUGCUUCAUACCUUUUCCACAUCCAUAGCGUAAGAGUGUGUAAUGGUCAAGAACAGAGACUAUGACCCCCUCUGCUGGGCGUCAUAACAUAGUAUAGGUCGACAGGGGACGUUGUAUCACAUUGUUUGUGAAAAUUACAAAGGCCUGCUUUUGUUCUGUCCAAUUCUAUACAUCCUUAAAUACGCGACAAGCACCUAACAAAUAAGUUGAUGUUACAGGGGUUUCAUCAGGGGCGGAUCCAGGAAUUUGCGGUUACGGGGGGCGCCAUGCACUUUAUGAGGCAGUGGGUCCAGGGCGAAGCCCUCGUGGGGCUCCAGGGGGGCGAAGCCCCCGGAAUCGCCUGGAUUUUUAAGAUUUUAUGGGGCUUGAAAUAUUUCUCCUAUUUAGUCAUUUGUACUAUUUUCUAUCAUUUUUUAAAGGUGAAAUUAAUAAAAUGACCCAAAUUUUAGUUCUCCUAAUAAAGUAAUUCAAGAAAUCACAAGAUUUUGUAAUUUAUUUCUCCGGGAGUUGAAGAAAUUAUUGCUUCUUUUAUCGUUUAGUACAUUUUCCGAAGCAAGAUACCGUGAUUUACCUUAAAUUUGAAAAUUUAGGGUGGGGGGUGGUUGUGCCCCCUCUCAAUCCGCCACUGUUUAUUAGUCUCGUUUAACGUUGUUCCACACUCCUGUGACGUCAUAAGAUUUUGUAAAGUCAAUAAUUUAAUGACUGGAACAUAAAUUUUGUUGGAGUCUUUUUCAAUAGUUAUUGUAAAAAAAUCUUGUUAGCCAUAAAAUAUUUCUAAAGUCCUGGUUAUAUUUGAAUAGUCAAUGAUGUGUUUCAAAAUAUUGAAUCCAAGGACAAUAACUCUGUUUUCAUUAAAUUAUUUAUCAAGUCCAUUAUGCAAUAGAUUUCCUAUAUUUUUCACAAACAUUUUACCAAGGUGAUAAGGAAUUAUUAUCUAUGUCUUUUCAUGAAAUUACAUAAAAUUUUAAUCCAUGAGUGGUUUUGAAUAGCUCAGUUGUAUGGUGCCAGACUUAGGUUUUUUUAUGGGGGUAUACAUACUCUGGAAGCUAUAGAUUUGAAAUUAUUAAGGAAAGGUAUGGAUUUUUUUUUCAUAAAUAACUAUACCAGAUGUACAUCUACUAAUAUAAACAGAAAAAAUGAUAUGUAAACCAUGCUAUAGGGAAAUUGUGUCCAUAUUUGUUUGUUUUUUAACAUUUUGGAGAAUAAGGCUAAUUCAAUAAUUUUGCACUUAUUAUACUAAAACUUGAUGAACAUAUUGAAAAUGACAUGUGUUUUAGUUAUUGACAUGAUUCCUGAUAAAUAAAUGCAAUUUAAAUUU
Molecule: long non-coding RNA, 3201 nt
Organism: Ostrea edulis (European flat oyster)
Lineage: Eukaryota; Metazoa; Mollusca; Bivalvia; Ostreida; Ostreidae
Exons: 2
Source: RefSeq, a predicted model, not a curated record